GCAGUCGUGGCCAAGUGGUUAAAAGGCGAUGGACUAGAAAUCCACUGGAGUCUCCCCGUACAGGUUCGAAUCCUGUCGACUGCG
Molecule: transfer RNA, 84 nt
Filed under: Ixodes scapularis (black-legged tick)
Lineage: Eukaryota; Metazoa; Arthropoda; Arachnida; Ixodida; Ixodidae
Rfam family: tRNA
About the family: Transfer RNA (tRNA) molecules are approximately 80 nucleotides in length. Their secondary structure includes four short double-helical elements and three loops (D, anti-codon, and T loops). Further hydrogen bonds mediate the characteristic L-shaped molecular structure. tRNAs have two regions of fundamental functional importance: the anti-codon, which is responsible for specific mRNA codon recognition, and the 3' end, to which the tRNAs corresponding amino acid is attached (by aminoacyl-tRNA synthetases). tRNAs cope with the degeneracy of the genetic code in two manners: having more than one tRNA (with a specific anti-codon) for a particular amino acid; and 'wobble' base-pairing, i.e. permitting non-standard base-pairing at the 3rd anti-codon position.
Source: Rfam by way of RNAcentral